UGAAAGCACUACGGGAGCUCGCGGAGGCGAGCUGAGAGGUCCCGGUAAUCGCGGGACGACCGUCGAACCUGAUCUGGAUAAUACCAGCGAAGGGAGAACCCGGGAAAUGCGU
This 112-nucleotide non-coding RNA is filed under the name Candidatus Zhuqueibacterota. Its description in RNAcentral is "Candidate division TPP sequence". It matches the Rfam family "TPP riboswitch aptamer (THI element)". From Rfam's summary of the family: Vitamin B(1) in its active form thiamin pyrophosphate (TPP) is an essential coenzyme that is synthesised by coupling of pyrimidine and thiazole moieties in bacteria. Lineage: Bacteria; Pseudomonadati. The record is from RNAcentral.